UUUCUUUAACGAAGAUUUUACUCUGAAAUCAUGAUUGAAAUUUAAUAAUGAAAUUGUUUUGCAUUAGAAUAGAGAUAACUGUAUUGUAUUUGAAGCUUUGCGGACGUCCAUCGGUAGUUUUACUGUCGCAAAUACCCGUUUACCUGUCUCCGCUCAAAUACAAUACAGUUAUCUCUUAAUUGAUGACUAGAUAGUGAUAAAGUAGUUCGACUUCUUAGACCACUCGGCCACCGAGGAUCCAAUAUAUUUAGAAAAAAACUUAUUUCAUAAACUUGAAAUUUAUUCAAAAAGAUAUCAUGGUUAUCAUGAUAAAAACUCGUACAUUUUUUUUUUAGACUUUAUGAGUAUAUUAAUGGAAAUAUAGAAACACUCCUAUAUAGUCACUGUCUGAUGAACUAUGUCGCAGUAUCAAGAGAAAUUAAGAUGCGAAAUGAUAAUCAAAGUCGCACGUGUCAAGAGGCUAAACAAUGGUCCUCAAGGGCAUAAAAAUAAAACAAGGAGGAGCCACGUGAAUCAUGUUGAAAUAUGACUAAAGUCUGGUGUUCCAUACAGAAAGGCAGUUCCUACUCUAUUAGUUGCACCUUUCGUCAAACCUCGACAGAUUCCGCUUCUAAAUCCAAAC
This 622-nucleotide long non-coding RNA is filed under the name Mytilus galloprovincialis (Mediterranean mussel). The record is from RNAcentral. Lineage: Eukaryota; Metazoa; Mollusca; Bivalvia; Mytilida; Mytilidae.